CCUACGGGAGGCAGCAGUGGGGAAUAUUGCACAAUGGGGGGAACCCUGAUGCAGCAACGCCGCGUGGGUGAAGAAGUACUUCGGUAUGUAAAGCCCUGUCAGCAGGGAAGAAAAUGACGGUACCUGACCAAGAAGCCCCGGCUAACUACGUGACGGCAGCCGCGGUAAUACGUAGGGGGCAAGCGUUAUCCGGAUUUACUGGGUGUAAAGGGAGCGUAUACGGCAAGGCAAGGCUGGAGUGAAAGCCCGUGGCUCAACCAUGGGACUGCUUUGGAAACUGUGUUGCUGGAGUGCAGGAGGGGUAAGCGGAAUUCGUAGUGUAGCGGUGAAAUGCGUAGAUAUUAGGAGGAACACCGGUGGCGAAGGCGGCUUACUGGACUGUAACUGACGUUGAGGCUCGAAGGCGUGGGGAGCAAACAGGAUUAGAUACCCGGGUAGUC
This 440-nucleotide ribosomal RNA is filed under the name uncultured bacterium. RNAcentral's name for it is "partial 16S ribosomal RNA". It matches the Rfam family "Bacterial small subunit ribosomal RNA", at positions 338 to 795 of the family's 1533-position model. The record is from RNAcentral.